This 103-nucleotide ribosomal RNA is filed under the name Chlamydia trachomatis. The record is from RNAcentral. Lineage: Bacteria; Pseudomonadati; Chlamydiota; Chlamydiia; Chlamydiales; Chlamydiaceae.
CAGCAACCAUAACGAAGGGCCCCACCUGAUUCCAUUCCGAACUCAGCAGUUAAGACCUUCCGUGCCGACAAUACCGUAAGGGAAGAUAGGUCGUUGCUUUUUU